GAUGAAGAACGGAGCGAAAUGCGAUAAGUAGUGUGAAUUGCAGAAUUCAGUGAAUCAUCGAAUCUUUGAACGCACAUUGCGCCCUCUGGUAUUCCGGAGGGCAUGCCUGUUCGAGCGUCAUUAAAACUACUCAAGCUAAGGUUUUACCUUCUGCUUGGUCUUGGGUUUGAGGAUUCAAAAUCCUCUCUCCGAAAUCCAGUGGCGAAUUGUUUGAGCUGUAGACGUAGUAAAUCAUUCUACCCGUUGCAAGCGAGAAUAAUAUUCAGCCAUAACCCCCAUACUUUUCUAGUUUGACCUCGGAUCAGGUAGGGAUACCCGCUGAACUUAAGCAUAUCAAUAAGCGGAGGA
Molecule: unclassified non-coding RNA, 348 nt
Filed under: soil metagenome
Description: partial contains 5.8S ribosomal RNA, internal transcribed spacer 2, and large subunit ribosomal RNA
Rfam family: 5.8S ribosomal RNA (bases 1-120)
Source: RNAcentral